RNAcentral lists this ribosomal RNA (253 nucleotides) under uncultured bacterium. RNAcentral describes it as "partial 16S ribosomal RNA". It matches the Rfam family "Bacterial small subunit ribosomal RNA", at positions 524 to 776 of the family's 1533-position model. The record is from RNAcentral.
UACGAAGGGGGCUAGCGUUGUUCGGAAUUACUGGGCGUAAAGCGCGCGCAGGCGGCUAUCCAAGUCAGUGGUGAAAGCCCGGAGCUCAACUCCGGAACUGCCAUUGAAACUGUUUAGCUUGAGUAUGAGAGAGGUGAGUGGAAUUCCCAGUGUAGAGGUGAAAUUCGUAGAUAUUGGGAAGAACACCGGUGGCGAAGGCGGCUCACUGGCUCAUUACUGACGCUGAGGCACGAAAGCGUGGGGAGCAAACAGG